AUUGAACGCUGGCGGCAGGCCUAACACAUGCAAGUCGAACGGUAACAGGAAACAGCUUGCUGUUUCGCUGACGAAUGGCGGACGGGUGAGUAAUGUCUGGGAAACUGCCUGAUGGAGGGAGAUAACUACUGGAAACGGUAGCUAAUACCGCAUAACGUCGCAAGACCAAAGAGGGGGACCUUCGGGCCUCUUGCCAUCGGAUGUGCCCAGAUGGGAUUAGCUAGUAGGUGGGGUAACGGCUCACCUAGGCGACGAUCCCUAGCUGGUCUGAGAGGAUGACCAGCCACACUGGAACUGAGACACGGUCCAGACUCCUACGGGAGGCAGCAGUGGGGAAUAUUGCACAAUGGGCGCAAGCCUGAUGCAGCCAUGUCGCGUGUAUGAAGAAGGCCUUCGGGUUGUAAAGUACUUUCAGCGGGGAGGAAGGGAGUAAAGUUAAUACCUUUGCUCAUUGACGUUACCCGCAGAAGAAGCACCGGCUAACUCCGUGCCAGCCGCCGCGGUAA
Molecule: ribosomal RNA, 506 nt
Filed under: uncultured bacterium
Lineage: Bacteria
Description: partial 16S ribosomal RNA
Rfam family: Bacterial small subunit ribosomal RNA
Source: RNAcentral